Molecule: unclassified non-coding RNA, 303 nt
Filed under: Hevea brasiliensis (rubber tree)
Lineage: Eukaryota; Viridiplantae; Streptophyta; Magnoliopsida; Malpighiales; Euphorbiaceae
Source: RNAcentral
CAGUGAGCUGGCUCCUGGUAAAGAGUACUCUGGUUUUAACCCUGGGGUUAAAGGGACAAGGCCAGAGAAUUUUAAUGAACAUCUUUUGGGAUCUAGCCAGCGGGAAAUAUUGGAUCAUCAUCGUCCUAUAGGGCUACAUACUUUUCCUGGACCAUUGGGACCUAGUAGUGUGCAUAGACCAAACCUAUCAUUGCGUCCUUUUGGUCCUCAAGGUGGUUUUGACCCUGUGCUUUCUAGUGCAGAAUAUAAUGAUUUGGCUUCUCUGCGUAAUUUCCGAGAUGGGAAUUCUAACAUUCCAAUGGG